This 98-nucleotide small nuclear RNA is filed under the name Vicugna pacos (alpaca). Its description in RNAcentral is "U2 spliceosomal RNA (ENSVPAG00000017624.1)". It matches the Rfam family "U2 spliceosomal RNA". From Rfam's summary of the family: U2 is a small nuclear RNA (snRNA) component of the spliceosome (involved in pre-mRNA splicing). Complementary binding between U2 snRNA (in an area lying towards the 5' end but 3' to hairpin I) and the branchpoint sequence (BPS) of the intron results the bulging out of an unpaired adenosine, on the BPS, which initiates a nucleophilic attack at the intronic 5' splice site, thus starting the first of two transesterification reactions that mediate splicing. The record is from Rfam by way of RNAcentral. Lineage: Eukaryota; Metazoa; Chordata; Mammalia; Artiodactyla; Camelidae.
GUCGCUUCUUGGUCUUUUGGCUAAGAUCAAGUGUAGUAUCUGUUCUUGUCAGUUUAAUAUCGUCUCUCUUAGCAACUUUCAAAAAUACGGUACACUCU